GAGCCAGUACAGGAGGGACCCGCGUCUGAUUAGCUUGUUGGUAAGGUAACGGCUUACACAGGCGACGAUCAGUAGCCGACCUGGGAGGGUGAUCGGCCACAUAGGAACUGAGACACGGUCCAACCUCCUACGGGAGGCAGCAGUGGGGAAUAUUGCACAAUGGGCGAAAGCCUGAUGCAGCAACGCCGCGGGAGUGAUGAAGGCCUUCGGGUCGUAAAACUCUGUCCUCAAGGCAGAUAAUGACGGUACUUGAGGAGGAAGCCCCGGCUCACUACGUGCCAGCAGCCGCGGUAAUCCGUAGGGUGCUAGCGUUAUCCGGAUUUACUGGGCGAGAAGGGUGCGUGGGCCGGCGUCCAAGUCGGGAGUGAUAGGCUACGGCUGAACCUUAGUUAGCCUUUGAACCUGGGAGACUUGAGUGCAGGAGCGGAGACUGGGCUUCAUA
This 442-nucleotide ribosomal RNA is filed under the name Clostridioides difficile. RNAcentral describes it as "bacterial SSU rRNA". It matches the Rfam family "Bacterial small subunit ribosomal RNA", at positions 212 to 672 of the family's 1533-position model. The record is from RNAcentral. Lineage: Bacteria; Bacillati; Bacillota; Clostridia; Peptostreptococcales; Peptostreptococcaceae.